RNAcentral lists this long non-coding RNA (1543 nucleotides) under Mus musculus (house mouse). RNAcentral describes it as "predicted gene, 42356 (Gm42356)". Lineage: Eukaryota; Metazoa; Chordata; Mammalia; Rodentia; Muridae. The record is from RNAcentral.
GCUCCAGGGUGCUACAAGGUCAAGAGCAGCAGGAGGAAGAUGGAAGUGGGGUGUCAGCCUCUGACCGCCAGGCUCUUAUCUCUCCCAGGAGGUGCACGGCAGGACACAGGAAGCCAGCCCUGGAGCAGGACACACUGCCUGCUAAAAACAGCAUCACCCGUUGACUUCUAAGCCGCACUGCGUCCCUCUCCUGGCUCGCCUGGAUAGAGCAGAGCUGUCCGUGGGCACCAGGAUGGCCAUUCCAUACUCUGCUCCAGUGCUGGUCCAGAGAGCCUCUCCCUGACUUGUCUGCCUUCCGCGUCGCAGCACAGGACACCCCCCUCCCAUGGCCUCCCGUCAGAGUGGAGAUACAACUCUGUGGUAGCACAUGUGCUUGGCUCGAGCAGGGCCCUAAAUCCCAACCCAACACUGGGGGGUUUUCCCCAGCGUAGAAGGCCCCAUCGCCUUUCUGUUCUGAUCCUCGCCUGCUCUCCUUCCCUACCCUCCUUGAGAUCCCAGGGUCUGUGUCCUGCCCUAUGUACCUCGCACUUGCUCUUCCCCACAGGUUCUGAUGACUCCUGAAGUCCUGACUCCAAAAUCACCUCUACCACCUCUUUUGACAUUUCAUCUCCUGCCUCUUCCACCCCAACACCUUGGAGUUCCUGUCCUUAUCUAGUCUCCACCCUUGACCUUGACACUGCCGGGUGUAUUUCACUUGCUUAUCUUGCUCGUCACUACCAACACAAGCCCAGCUAACCCGGAGAAAUAGCAACACACACAUCUUUGGGGUGGGGUAGGGGGAGAGAGCUGUAUGCGGUGAUGACUAAUGCGCUCGUAAACUGCUGGACGCUUUUUAUACUACUGUGAGGAGCUGUUGCAAAGUCACUUGUGGUUUGAAUGACUUUAAGAUUCAGAGUACUAUUAAUUUCCGGUGAAUAAUUCCAAGAAACACGGUGCUUGGGGAAGAAUUAAGAUGUUUUCAAGAGAGUACAAAGAGCUGCCUGGUGUGACUCUAGAGGAAAGACCGCAGCGCUGAAGUCAUUUUCCUGUUUGGUUCGUCAGUGUGAUCGAAAUGAAGCCUGGGACUGGGUGCAGUGGUACACACCUUUGCUGCCAGCGCUUGGAGGGCAGAAGCUGGCAGACCAUUAUGAGUUCGAGGCCAGCCUGGCGCACAUAGAACACACACCUUAGUCUCUGGGCACAUGGAGGAGGUGAAGGCAGCUGUGGAUUGACAAGGAUGUUGGGGGCAUGCGCCACCCUCUACCCGUGAAAUCAGAAAGGAAAUGAGCAGGCAGCUGCAGGCUGUCUGCCUACCUCGACUCCCACCCACCCGCCCACCCGCGCCUCAGCAGCUGCCUCCAGAGGUGAGAGCUGUCGGCCAGCUGAUGGGAAACAGCUGGCUCCUUCCUGCCCUUUAUGCUCUCCCAAACCCUAAGCCUGCACACAGCUGCAAAAAGCCACCUCACGGACCUCCCUACAGAGCUGUGGGUCUCAACCAUUACUGUGUCCACAGGGUGGGGAAGAUGACGGAGAUGGGUUAAACAAAGGAUCCCAGCUCCCAGUG